Molecule: long non-coding RNA, 1021 nt
Filed under: Olea europaea subsp. europaea
Lineage: Eukaryota; Viridiplantae; Streptophyta; Magnoliopsida; Lamiales; Oleaceae
Source: RNAcentral
AGAUCAACUUAAGUUUUUUGGACUUGGACUUGACACUUGAAGUUGAGAAACUUGCCGAUCUUAUUGAUGAGACCAAUGCUAAUGAAAGAUCUUUCCAUAAGGCUUGGGAAAUGUCAAACAAAUUAAGCCCAAUGCGGAUGACCUUAGCAAAGAAUAUCAAGUCUAUAAUCCUAAAACUGAUAUUGUUAAGGAAUAUAUGAAGUUUGUGGAAGAACGUUCUCAAACAGCUGACAAAUCACUUGCUGGCACACUGAUGGGUACCUUAACCACCAUGAAAUUUGAUGGUUCUCAUAUUAUACGUGAGUAUGUUACCGAAAUGAGUCAUACUGUAGCAAUACUGAAGACUCUUGGGAUGAUUGUGGAUGAGAACUUUCUUGUACAGUUUAUCAUCAACUCAUUGCCUUCUGAGUAUGAUUCGUUCCAUAUGAACUACAACACCUUAAAGAAUAAAUGGAAUGUGAAUGAAUUACACGGUAUGCUCGUGUGGGAGGAGAGAAGGCUUAAGAAUCAAGAAACUCAUUCUGCUCAUCUCGUAAGUCAUCAAAGAGCUGGAAAGAAAUAUAAAAAAUGUCUGGAAAGGGCAUUAAGUAAGAACCACUAAAGAUAAAUGGGUCUUUUUGCCCAAAUCCAUAAUAAAGAACACAAGACGUGUCAUUUCUAUUGUAAGCCUGGGCACCAUAAAAGGGAUGGCCUCAAACGUAAGGCAUGGUUCGAAAGUAAAGGUAAGAUUAUUUCUUAUGUAUGUUUCUAAUUUAAUUCGACAAAAGUUCCUUAUAAUACUUGGUGGAUUGAUUUCGGAUGUACCACUCAUGUUAUUAAUACGAUGCUGGGAUUCUUGUCAACAGACUAUAUAUCCAAAGGAAACGUUUGUUCUCAUGGAAAAUCGAGUCAAAGCUCCAGUUGAAGCCAUUGAAACUUAUCGUUUGAUUUUAGACACUGGACAUCAUUUAGAUUUGUUUCAAACUCUUUAUGUACCUUAUAUUUCUCAUAAUUUAGUUUCAUUAUCGAAACUUGAUUCUGG